AACGAACGUUAGCGGUGUGGAUUAGGCAUGCAAGUCGUGCGCGAAAGCCUUCGGGCGAGUAAAGCGGCGAAAGGGUGAGUAACACGUAACCAACCUACCCCCAGACUGGAAUAACCCUCGGAAACGAGGGGUAAUGCCAGAUGGUCCUCGGUGUGGCAUCACACCGAAGGUAAACGGCUUCGGCUGCUGAGGGAGGGGGUUGCGGGCUAUCAGCUUGUUGGUGAGGUAACGGCUCACCAAGGCUAUGACGGCUAGCGGGUCUGAGAGGACGAUCCGUCACACUGGGACUGAGACACUGCCCAGACUCCUACGGGAGGCUGCAGUCGAGAAUCUUCCGCAAUGGGCGAAAGCCUGACGGAGCGACACCGCGUGUAGGAUGAAGGCCUUCGGGUUGUAAACUACUGUCACGCUAUAGGAAAACCGGUUUACCGGUCUGACCAAAGCGAGAGGAAGCACCGGCUAACUCUGUGCCAGCAGCCGCGGUGAGACAGAGGGUGCAAACGUUGUUCGGAAUUACUGGGCAUAAAGAGCACGUAGGCGGCCAUUCAAGUCACGCGUGAAAUCCCCCGGCUCAACCGGGGAACUGCGUGUGAUACUG
Molecule: ribosomal RNA, 598 nt
Filed under: uncultured bacterium
Lineage: Bacteria
Description: bacterial SSU rRNA
Rfam family: Bacterial small subunit ribosomal RNA
Source: RNAcentral